GUCUGUAUGUAUUCUAUUUAUAGUCUAGCCUGCCCACUGAUGUUUUAAAGGGCCGCGGUAAUUUGACCGUGCGAAGGUAGCAUAAUCACUAGCUUUUUAAUUGAAGGCUYGUAUGAAUGGUUGGACGAAGAAUUAGCUGUCUUUUUAUUAUUUUGAAUUUAACUUUUAAGUGAAAAGGCUUAAAUUAAUUAGGGGGACGAUAAGACCCUAUAAAACUUUAUAUAAAUUAGAUARAAUGGUAAAAUUCAGUUUAAUYAUCUUUUAUYUGYUUUAUAUUUUGUUGGGGAGACAUUUAUAUAAUUUGUAACUGUUUUAAAAAUUUAAUAAUUAUAAUUAGUUUCUGAUCCUGUAYUACGGAUUAUAAGUGUAAGUUACUUUAGGGAUAACAGGGUAAUUUUCUCUGAGAGUCCUUAUCGACGAGUUUAGUUGCGACCUCGAUGUUGAAUUAAAAUGUUAGAUUGGUGCAGUCAUUUUUCUAGUAGGUCUGUUCGACCUUUAAAAUUUU
RNAcentral lists this ribosomal RNA (505 nucleotides) under Odontonia katoi. Its description in RNAcentral is "partial 16S ribosomal RNA". It matches the Rfam family "Bacterial large subunit ribosomal RNA", at positions 1829 to 2597 of the family's 2925-position model. Lineage: Eukaryota; Metazoa; Arthropoda; Malacostraca; Decapoda; Palaemonidae. The record is from RNAcentral.